Long non-coding RNA from Lagopus muta (rock ptarmigan), 2127 nucleotides. RefSeq lists it as uncharacterized. NCBI's taxonomy places the organism in Eukaryota, Metazoa, Chordata, Aves, Galliformes, Phasianidae. The transcript is spliced from 5 exons. The record is from RefSeq and is a predicted model, not a curated record.
UACCAGUGGGAGAGGAUCUCUUUCUGGAGUUCCUUCUUUUUGGAGCUUUCCAGCAAGCCCAGGAUAAGGUUCAGAUUAAGUAAUGGAGGCAUGAUCAUUCCACUUCCGGACAGAACAGUCUUUGAAGAAACUGAAAGGAAGACUUGUGCAAAUAAUGGAAAUUUUGGUUCAGUGGCUUUGCAUUGCAAGGUGAAGAAGGUGCAAAUAUCUUUAAGAUCAGCAGGUAGCAGCUUGCUUAGAGGCUCGAGCUUACCCUGGAGUACCUGAAGGAGGAAAAAAGUGCAUCAAUAUAUGGUGUUUAUGACGGUGAGAAGAAUGGGGUAAGGGGUGGCAAGCAGAACUGUACAGAAGAACAGGCACAGUGGGAAAAAAAAAGACAACAAUUAUUCACCCUGCACUGAAGGUUUGUCGUUGUUACAGUAGGAGAGAGAAAAGGGCUGUUAUGCAGAAGUUCCAUGAAAACUCACUGCAGUGUUUCAUUCAUAGUAAACUUUACCAUGCAUGGGUAAAUGAUCAGCCUAAUUACAUCUCUUAUAUCUACUGUAGGAGUCUCAUUAUUUCCUUCUGUUCCACCAUCUGUCUCUGCCCAUCUGUUUUCUCUUAUGGUUGGCCUGUAAGUUCUUUGGGGUAGAAUUUGUUUUUAAUUUCUUUUUAUGGCAUCUAAUUAAGGGGAUUCUGGUUUGAAACUAGGAAUUGUAAGCAAAGUAAUAGAAAAUGUCUCAUAAUAGAGCUUGCAUAUGUAAGAAACUGUGUUAACUAUGAGUUAUAAGCACUUGAAUACCUCAAGACUUCACAUUUCAUGAAAGUGUAAGGCAUUCUCUUAAACCAUAAUAUUUGAUAUCUGGCUAACCUGUGCAUCAAUUCCCUUUAUUUUUCCUCAUGUCAGAAGUGCACAGGUCAAUGCAUUUGAUCUGUAACUUUUUUUUUUCUGAACUUUCUUAUAUGCAGCAUGCUAGUCGGAAUGUGUUUCCAAUUGGUUGUCAGUGAAUUACAAUCCCUUUUUUAUUAUAUUUUUUUUCCUUGAUGCAGAUGUAGGUAUUCUAUUCACUGUCCUUGGAUUUCAGCUUGAGUCUCUCUCGUUUUGGGAUUAUUCACUGCCCUGAAAAAUUUUAAAACCAGCCAAGCAGCACUCUCAUGUCCGUCAAAAUAAUCUCAUUUAAAGAAAUGAUGAUGUGGAAUUCCUAGAGCAGUGAAACUGUUCUGAACAAAAUACGUGUACAAUAAAAAUAUGAAAAUUGAUAAAAAAAAUAUUGAUUUACAACUUUGUUGAUGAUUGAGGGCAAGGAUGUGUUUAACAUAUGUAUUAAUAUUUCAUAAAAUCUAAUUAUUGCUGUAGCAUAUGUUAACUGGGUAUUUAGGAUUUAAAUAUGCACUCUGAUAGCUCCUUUCUUGUUCAUUGUUGUGGACAUGUGCUUGCACAAAGUCAAACAUUGGUCUAGGAGACAUACAAAAUUGUUAUUAGUGGAUUUGAUUCCUCUGUGACACCUAUCUCUUUGUAUGUUUCCUAGUUUUUAAGCCCAAUAGCAGCGCCCUUAACUUGUCCAGCUGAAAUUUCCCUUUGGAUGAGUUUAAUGCAUUUUCUCUGGGAUUUCCUUAAUCUUAAACGGACCACAGGAAAAGUUUAAGGCUAGGAUUCAUAGUGGAAGUAAGAACUACUAAAGUUUUGAGAGUAUGGCAGUCAUGAGUUGUAAGUAUCUUCAAAGUCUGAUGAAUUGAUAACCAGGCUGUUAGAUAGGAAACAAGAAAAUUUAGUCUGUGGAAAAUUUUGGUUAAUGUAUCUAUUACUAAAAGAUGUGUAAACAAAGUCAAAUCAUCAGUUGCUUUAGGCUGGGUAUAGCCGUAGAAAUGCUUAAGGCAGCUUCCUCAAUAAAUGAAGAGUCAAAACAGCAGUCCAUGGAGUGACAACAUGUGAAUGUCAAAGAAAAUCUUCAAGACACAGCCAUCAGCGGGUAAAGAGAUGUGCACUAUUUUGGGGAGGAUAGGAAAGGGGUGAUUCUUCUACAUCUCCUGGAACAUGGACAAGCCAUUAACUCUGACUCCUACGCUGCAGUGCUGACUAAGUUGAGGGCUUGAACUUCCAGAAUCAGGCAGAGAAGAGGACAACCUUUUUUUUGCAACAUGAUAACA